UCAAUGCAGCGUUUAUUUCCAUCAAUAUUUACAAUUAGAAUCCAAUAACGAUAAAGAAUCUGACUGAUUCAGCUUUGAACUAAUGCUUGUUAGUUUCGCAUUUGUACUAGCAACGAAAGGAAAAUGUGUGAUUAAUCAGUAAAAUGAAUUUCAUUUUGAUUAGACAUCGACUGUGAAAUAAGAAAUAGUGUUUUACUUCUGCGGGAAUCGUAAAAAAUAAUUACACUUAAACAAAUUUAAAUCGGAGGAAAUGUCAAUAUUUGCAAAUGGACAUGAAAUAAAGGGAAAGAGUUAACGUUGAGUGCAUUCUAACAACAUAUUGUAUGGUUUCCUAAAUAAGACGGUAAUGAACGUCAAGAUAUUUUUAGAGUCUUUAUGAAUCAAUAACGAGGGAUGAUACAUUAUUGCUAAUACAACACAUCUAAGGAGAAAAGACCGGAUCAAUUAGAACUUCUAGAAUAAUACCUUGAGAACAAUGUAGCUGAACUAGGGCAGAUCUUUCACUGUUUUUGAACAGUACUUAUAACGAAUGACUGUGGAAUAAUGCAUCCAUCAUGAAACGGGU
Mytilus trossulus (common blue mussel) is the source of this 565-nucleotide long non-coding RNA. RefSeq lists it as uncharacterized. The record is from RefSeq and is a predicted model, not a curated record. Lineage: Eukaryota; Metazoa; Mollusca; Bivalvia; Mytilida; Mytilidae. The transcript is spliced from 3 exons.